GAUGAAGAACGUAGCGAAAUGCGAUAAGUAAUGUGAAUUGCAGAAUUCAGUGAAUCAUCGAAUCUUUGAACGCACAUUGCGCCCAUUAGUAUUCUAGUGGGCAUGCCUGUUCGAGCGUCAUUAAGUUCACUUAAGCCCUGCUUAGUGUUGGGAGACUGCUCCAGCGGUGCUACCCUGUAGCUACCCUGCAGCUCCUCAAAGACAGCGGCGGAGUUGUGGUAUCCUCUGAGCUUAGUAACUUGUUCUAGCUUUCGAGUACACCACUUCCCCUGCCGUAAAACCCUUAAUUUUUAAUGGUUGACCUCGGAUCAGGUAGGAAUACCCGCUGAACUUAAGCAUAUCAAUAAGCGGAGGA
RNAcentral lists this unclassified non-coding RNA (355 nucleotides) under soil metagenome. RNAcentral's name for it is "partial contains 5.8S ribosomal RNA, internal transcribed spacer 2, and large subunit ribosomal RNA". The stretch from base 1 to 120 matches the Rfam family "5.8S ribosomal RNA", at positions 35 to 154 of the family's 154-position model. The record is from RNAcentral.